Long non-coding RNA from Homo sapiens (human), 330 nucleotides. RefSeq lists it as uncharacterized. The record is from RefSeq and is a predicted model, not a curated record. The transcript is spliced from 3 exons. Lineage: Eukaryota; Metazoa; Chordata; Mammalia; Primates; Hominidae.
AGUUCUAAUACUGGAGCUGGAGGCAGGCAGCUCUGCUGAGCUUGACAAUAGGCAUCAGGAAAAACUGUGAACUGAGAAGCAUGCUUCAGAUUCAAGGUUCUGGGAAGUCGAGAUUACAUCCCUAAAGAUGAUCCACACUCAACUUUGCACUGGAAUAUCUGGAGUGAUGCCAACAAGAUGAUGGAGUAGAAGACAGAGCCUUCAUUCUGUCCCCCUGCAAAGUAACAAUUAAUUAGACAGAUAUCAAUGAAUGAAAUACUAAGAGGGCAAAAUAAUCCAAUUAAAAACCUUCAGCAUCACCAUGGAACAAGGAAACAUGGACAAAAUCUG